CCUACGGGAGGCAGCAGUGAGGAAUAUUGGUCAAUGGGCUUACGCCUGAACCAGCCAAGUCGCGUGAGGGAAGACUGCCCUAUGGGUUGUAAACCUCUUUUGUCAGGGAGCAACGCCGGCUACGUGUAGCCGGACUGAGAGUACCUGAAGAAAAAGCAUCGGCUAACUCCGUGCCAGCAGCCGCGGUAAUACGGAGGAUUCAAGCGUUAUCCGGAUUUAUUGGGUUUAAAGGGUGCGUAGGCGGUCGGAUAAGUUAGAGGUGAAAUCCCGAGGCUCAACUUCGGAAUUGCCUCUGAUACUGUUCGGCUAGAGAGUAGUUGCGGUAGGCGGAAUGUAUGGUGUAGCGGUGAAAUGCUUAGAGAUCAUACAGAACACCGAUUGCGAAGGCAGCUUACCAAGCUACUUCUGACGUUGAGGCACGAAAGCGUGGGGAGCAAACAGGAUUAGAUACCCUUGUAGUC
Molecule: ribosomal RNA, 461 nt
Filed under: uncultured bacterium
Lineage: Bacteria
Description: partial 16S ribosomal RNA
Rfam family: Bacterial small subunit ribosomal RNA
Source: RNAcentral